CAAUAGCGUAUAUUAAAGUUGUUGCAGUUAAAAAGCUCGUAGUUGGAUUUCUGGCAGGAGCGACCGGUCACACACUCUGUGUGUGAACUUGCGUUGUCUCUGGCCAUCCUUGGGAAGAUCCUGUUUGGCAUUAAGUUGUCGGGCAGGGGAUACCCAUCGUUUACUGUGAAAAAAUUAGAGUGUUUAAAGCAGGCUUAUGCCGUUGAAUAUAUUAGCAUGGAAUAAUAAGAUAGGACUUCGGAACUAUUUUGUUGGUUUGCGUUACGAAGUAAUGAUUAAUAGGGACGGUUGGGGGUAUUCGUAUUCCAUUGUCAGAGGUGAAAUUCUUGGAUUUUUGGAAGACGAACUACUGCGAAAGCAUUUACCAAGGAUGUUUUCAUUGA
Molecule: ribosomal RNA, 383 nt
Filed under: uncultured eukaryote
Lineage: Eukaryota
Description: partial 18S ribosomal RNA
Rfam family: Eukaryotic small subunit ribosomal RNA
Source: RNAcentral